This 375-nucleotide long non-coding RNA is filed under the name Olea europaea subsp. europaea. Lineage: Eukaryota; Viridiplantae; Streptophyta; Magnoliopsida; Lamiales; Oleaceae. The record is from RNAcentral.
CCCACAUACAUUUCAAGUUUCAACAUUUUCAAGUUUUCACAAAUCACAAACAUAUUUAUAUCUUACACUACCUUUUUGAUGAAGGAGCCAAUCUCUGGCGCGAUUAGCAAGGGCGGUCUGGCGAAGGAGGGUUCAUGGUUGUAUUGUAUACUUGUAUUUGAUAUUGAUUCAAUUGAAUGAUUCAUCGAUUUAUGGCCUUGAAAAGAAAAGGUCGAGGCCCAGCGGCUGGAGAAGAAAUGAAGAAUGUAGUCCGAAGAUAAGAAAUCACAGGGAAAAAAGUGAGAAGUUGGUUGGGACUUGGGUCUUGCGAUUUGGGUAAAGUAAAUUAUAACAAUGGAUUAUGGAUUGGAGAUAUGGAAAUUAUGCUUCAGUUAG